UUUGGUUAAGUUAGAAAGGGCGCACGGUGGAUGCCUUGACACUAGGAGUCGAUGAAGGACGGGACUAACGCCGAUAUGCUUCGGGGAGCUGUAAGUAAGCUUUGAUCCGAAGAUUUCCGAAUGGGGAAACCCACCAUACGUAAUGGUAUGGUAUCCUUAUCUGAAUACAUAGGGUAAGGAAGACAGACCCAGGGAACUGAAACAUCUAAGUACCUGGAGGAAGAGAAAGCAAAUGCGAUUUCCUGAGUAGCGGCGAGCGAAACGGAACAUAGCCCAAACCAAGAGGCUUGCCUCUUGGGGUUGUAGGACAUUCUAUACGGAGUUACAAAGGAACGAGGUAGACGAAGCGACCUGGAAAGGUCCGUCGUAGAGGGUAACAACCCCGUAGUCGAAACUUCGUUCUCUCUUGAAUGUAUCCUGAGUACGGCGGAACACGUGAAAUUCCGUCGGAAUCUGGGAGGACCAUCUCCCAAGGCUAAAUACUCCCUAGUGAUCGAUAGUGAACCAGUACCGUGAGGGAAAGGUGAAAAGCACCCCGGAAGGGGAGUGAAAGAGAUCCUGAAACCGUGUGCCUACAAAUAGUCAGAGCCCGUUAACGGGUGAUGGCGUGCCUUUUGUAGAAUGAACCGGCGAGUUACGAUCCCGUGCGAGGUUAAGCUGAAGAGGCGGAGCCGCAGCGAAAGCGAGUCUGAAUAGGGCGUUUAGUACGUGGUCGUAGACCCGAAACCAGGUGAUCUACCCAUGUCCAGGGUGAAGUUCAGGUAACACUGAAUGGAGGCCCGAACCCACGCACGUUGAAAAGUGCGGGGAUGAGGUGUGGGUAGCGGAGAAAUUCCAAUCGAACCUGGAGAUAGCUGGUUCUCCCCGAAAUAGCUUUAGGGCUAGCCUUAAGUGUAAGAGUCUUGGAGGUAGAGCACUGAUUGGACUAGGGGUCCUCAUCGGAUUACCGAAUUCAGUCAAACUCCGAAUGCCAAUGACUUAUCCUUAGGAGUCAGACUGCGAGUGAUAAGAUCCGUAGUCAAAAGGGAAACAGCCCAGACCGCCAGCUAAGGUCCCAAAGUGUGUAUUAAGUGGAAAAGGAUGUGGAGUUGCUUAGACAACUAGGAUGUUGGCUUAGAAGCAGCCACCAUUUAAAGAGUGCGUAAUAGCUCACUAGUCGAGUGACUCUGCGCCGAAAAUGUACCGGGGCUAAAUACACCACCGAAGCUGCGGAUUGAUACCAAUGGUAUCAGUGGUAGGGGAGCGUUCUAAGGACAGUGAAGUCAGACCGGAAGGACUGGUGGAGUGCUUAGAAGUGAGAAUGCCGGUAUGAGUAGCGAAAGACGGGUGAGAAUCCCGUCCACCGAAUGCCUAAGGUUUCCUGAGGAAGGCUCGUCCGCUCAGGGUUAGUCAGGACCUAAGCCGAGGCCGACAGGCGUAGGCGAUGGACAACAGGUUGAUAUUCCUGUACCACCUCUUUAUCGUUUGAGCAAUGGAGGGACGCAGAAGGAUAGAAGAAGCGUGCGAUUGGUUGUGCACGUCCAAGCAGUUAGGCUGAUAAGUAGGCAAAUCCGCUUAUCGUGAAGGCUGAGCUGUGAUGGGGAAGCUCCUUAUGGAGCGAAGUCUUUGAUUCCCCGCUGCCAAGAAAAGCUUCUAGCGAGAUAAAAGGUGCCUGUACCGCAAACCGACACAGGCAGGCGAGGAGAGAAUCCUAAGGUGUGCGAGAGAACUCUGGUUAAGGAACUCGGCAAAAUGACCCCGUAACUUCGGGAGAAGGGGUGCUUUCUUAACGGAAAGCCGCAGUGAAUAGGCCCAAGCGACUGUUUAGCAAAAACACAGCUCUCUGCGAAGCCGUAAGGCGAAGUAUAGGGGGUGACACCUGCCCGGUGCUGGAAGGUUAAGGAGAGGGGUUAGCGUAAGCGAAGCUCUGAACUGAAGCCCCAGUAAACGGCGGCCGUAACUAUAACGGUCCUAAGGUAGCGAAAUUCCUUGUCGGGUAAGUUCCGACCCGCACGAAAGGUGUAACGAUUUGGGCACUGUCUCAACCAGAGACUCGGUGAAAUUAUAGUACCUGUGAAGAUGCAGGUUACCCGCGACAGGACGGAAAGACCCCGUGGAGCUUUACUGUAGCCUGAUAUUGAAUUUUGGUACAGUUUGUACAGGAUAGGCGGGAGCCAUUGAAACCGGAGCGCUAGCUUCGGUGGAGGCGCUGGUGGGAUACCGCCCUGACUGUAUUGAAAUUCUAACCUACGGGUCUUAUCGACCCGGGAGACAGUGUCAGGUGGGCAGUUUGACUGGGGCGGUCGCCUCCUAAAGUGUAACGGAGGCGCCCAAAGGUUCCCUCAGAAUGGUUGGAAAUCAUUCGUAGAGUGCAAAGGCAUAAGGGAGCUUGACUGCGAGACCUACAAGUCGAGCAGGGACGAAAGUCGGGCUUAGUGAUCCGGUGGUUCCGCAUGGAAGGGCCAUCGCUCAACGGAUAAAAGCUACCCCGGGGAUAACAGGCUUAUCUCCCCCAAGAGUCCACAUCGACGGGGAGGUUUGGCACCUCGAUGUCGGCUCAUCGCAUCCUGGGGCUGUAGUCGGUCCCAAGGGUUGGGCUGUUCGCCCAUUAAAGCGGUACGCGAGCUGGGUUCAGAACGUCGUGAGACAGUUCGGUCCCUAUCCGUCGUGGGCGUAGGAAAUUUGAGAGGAGCUGUCCUUAGUACGAGAGGACCGGGAUGGACGCACCGCUGGUGUACCAGUUGUUCUGCCAAGGGCAUAGCUGGGUAGCUAUGUGCGGAAGGGAUAAGUGCUGAAAGCAUCUAAGCAUGAAGCCCCCCUCAAGAUGAGAUUUCCCAUAGCGUAAGCUAGUAAGAUCCCUGAAAGAUGAUCAGGUUGAUAGGUUCGAGGUGGAAGCAUGGUGACAUGUGGAGCUGACGAAUACUAAUAGAUCGAGGACUUAACCAUAUAA
RNAcentral lists this ribosomal RNA (2929 nucleotides) under Bacillus bombysepticus str. Wang. Its description in RNAcentral is "bacterial LSU rRNA". It matches the Rfam family "Bacterial large subunit ribosomal RNA". The record is from RNAcentral. Lineage: Bacteria; Bacillati; Bacillota; Bacilli; Caryophanales; Bacillaceae.